This is a long non-coding RNA of Phasianus colchicus (ring-necked pheasant), 5580 nucleotides long. RefSeq lists it as uncharacterized. The record is from RefSeq and is a predicted model, not a curated record. NCBI's taxonomy places the organism in Eukaryota, Metazoa, Chordata, Aves, Galliformes, Phasianidae.
AAAUGCCCCAGCCCUCUUAGCCUGUCCUCACAGGGCAGGUGCUCCAGCCGUCUGAGCAUCUUUGUGGCUAUCCUCUGGAAAUCCACAGAUUUUAUAUACAUUAUAAAAUCCAGUCUAAUCCAGUCUUUUUUUCUUUCAUAAGUGAAUUUUCAAGUGAUAAUUUGACAGACUAAGGAUAUGCAACUACAUGAUGCACCUGGCUUUCAAACGUUUGCAACCUAGCAUCAGUCUCAUCCUCUGAAAUCAGGGCAUCAUUGUUAAGUGAUAUCAAAGGUCACUUACCAAAUGCCAUAAGGGAACUAGCAACAAAAAAAAAGUGAUGCUGAUUUUAAAAGGCACUAAAUGCUUUCCAUACAUACAAACAUUAUUUAGAAGUUCUUUGCAAAGACUCUAUUUUCUCAGUGGCAAAGAACAACAUUAUAAAAUACACCUAAAAAACGGGCUGGUCAGUUCUUUGCGGGAACUUGCUGGUUAUUAAAAAGUAUUAUCAAUAUGACCUCUAGGGAAGAAAUAGUUUCUCAGUAUCUUUUUUUGUUUGUUUGUUUUCUUAUUGGACUUAUUUAAACCACAGCUUCUACAAACAGAAGUCACUGCUGAACUCUUACAUUCAUCACAUCUAACUGAGGGGAAGAAGUCUUCAAGAUGUGAAAGAUCCAGCUUCCAUAAUUUCAGCUAAUUAAAACGUGGUAAGGACUUUCUAUAAUAUUUCCAUCUGGGGGAGCUGGAAGGCUGCUUGCUCAUUUUCACAUGGAACGAUGGGCUGUCCUUUCAAUGCCGGAAGCACCCAGAAUGGAACCCCCGCAGCCGCUCUGCUCUACACCAGUUCAGCAAGGAGCAGAGCCUUGCCUUCCUCAGGCUGAUGGAAGCUAACAGCAGAAAAUUUGCAUACCCGCUCGGGAUUGGCUGCGGAACAGUCGCUUUGCAUCAACCAAUCUGUAAGCGUGUAGCUGAGUCACCACCAGGAGGCCUGUGCAAAUCUGCCCAGCAACCGGCUGAAAAUAGAGCCGGAACCAAGGUAUGUCACCAAGACUGGGUGUGACACGAUGCCUCCUUGCCUGUGACGUCGUAUACAUGUAAACACAACGUGCAGAAAGCCUCGUUUCACAGUCAUUACACUGCGAUGCUACUGUCACAGGGAGACAAAUGCGUAAACCUACUGUGAGCACAUGAAAUAAGGAGGAGACAGUCUUCAAAUCUUACGCCUGAAACAGAGACAUUAGGGCUUGAGCACCUACCCAAUCAGGACAGGCCGAAAGAGCUGGGGCUUUUCAGUCUGGAGAAGAGAAAGUUCUAGGGGACCUUACGGCGGACUUCCAGUACCUGAAGGGGGCCUACAGGAAAGCUGAGGAGGUACGUUUUAGACAGGCAUAUAGUGACAGGACGAGGGGAAAUGACUUUAAACUGAGAGUACAUUUAAACUAGAUAUUAAGAAAAAAUUCCUAAUUGUGAGGGUGGGAGACACUGGAACAGGUUGCGCAGAGAGGUUAUGAAUGCCCCUUUCCUGGAAGUGUUCAAGGCCAGGCGGGAUGGGCUUUCAACAACCUCAUCUGGUGGGAGGUGUCCCUGCCUGUACCAGGGGGGUUGGUCUUAAAGGUCUCUUCUAACCCAAACCAUUCUAUGAUUCUUCAUUUUUUUAAAGCAAGCAUUAACAGAAACUCAUUCUUACUCACUGUGGUUUAUAUGCCAUGUCACUUUGGUGACGUAAAUGGAAAUUGAGUCAUUUACUCCACUGCAGUGGAUGUACCUGAAUCUUCAUCAAAUGUGGACUCAUACCUCUGAAGUUAGACCUUUGUGGACUCCUGUGCUAUCCCUUGGCGUGCCACACAUCAUGACAGGUUUCUACUUCAUGGAACUGGUUGCUGGCAGGUCAAAUGCAACACCUUUAAAGGAUUAGAACGCACCCAGUGCAAACACAGCUGCCUCAUCGUGGUCUUCUGCAGCCUGAAAGGCACCAUCUGACCAUAUCUGGUACAUAAAACCAUCUGUAUUUUUUACAAGGUUGUAGUAAAUAAAGGGACAUGGAAGAAAGGUAGCCAGUGCAAACAGUCACAUUGACCACUGACAACAGCUGACAGCUUUGGAAUGAUUCAAUGAAAUGGAAUCACAAAAUUAAUGAGAAGUCACAAGAAGAAAUGAAAUAGAAUAAAUCUUUAAGUUACCAGAAGAAAGAAAAGAGGGAAAAAUUAAUCACUUUUCAUGUAAAAGCAACAAGUUACAAAAUCUUUACUAUCCUUAUCAUCUGUUAGAAUUAUCUGUCACAAGCAUCCUGCUUUCAGGAAAGGUCGCUCACUCAGUAGAUGUUAGCUGGCCUCUGCUAAUAAUCUUUACUGGCAGUUGUGACCACAAGACAGUUAUUCAUUGAUCAACAGAAGCUAAACUUUUUCCACAAGCUGAGGAAAGACAGGAACUGAAAAAUUAGGCUGUCAGCCUAAUAAUCUAUUCACUACUAGAUUCAAGAAGAAAAAAACAAACGUGUUUUCAGUGCUGGUAACCCAGUGCAUUAAUAUGCUAAGAACACCAUGUAAUGCAGGUAAUGGAAGUUUUUUGUAAUAAGCAAUCACAAAAGUUUCUAUGACAAUUUCUUGUUAUAAUAAAGAAUGCAAUAAAAUAAGAUUUUAUAGUAUAAGUAUACAGUAAUGGAUUAAAUUCUCUUGUGUCAAUGGGCACACAAUUAUUUUUCUGUAUUUGCUGCUAGUCAGAGAUUUGUCACAUGUCUGAAACUUUAAGAGUUUGGAAGAAGAAUUACCCAAGAUAUUACACAAAGUGCACUUCAAAUGUUUUAUAAUCAAAUAUAUAAGCAAUCAUAAAAUUGAUGAUUCUUCAACUUAACUCAGAACAAGCUCUGCAGACAAAGAUUGUCUGACUUAAAUUAAUUCUUUGCUAAAUUGAACAAGGGACAGGAAGCAGAAAGUAGACAAACACAAUGUGUUUGUUUCUUUAUGUAAUUCAACUAAUGGAAACAAGAGGUCAAGCACAAUACAACUACUUUCAAAAGGAUUUUUAAUAGUAAAAAGUAUCCUGAAACAGUAGUGAUUCUAGCUGCAUCCUUCGUUUCUAGAGUUUUCAACCAUACCUCUUCUCACCACACUUGCUACACAGUCAGUCUUGCAAUCUCAUUAUAUACAAUUUAUUAGAGUUCUUUUGAGACCAAAAAGUAUCUUGCCUUUCAUUCUUAAUAUAUAAAAUAAUCUGAUCUCCUAGUACUAUCUCCUUGAGACAACUGAAACUCAAUGUUAGUACAUAUAAAUUUUGAAAUAAGGUUGGUCCUAAGCGGCACAAUUGUAUGCAUCUGCAUUGGCAACAUUUUACGAUUUCUGAGGUGCUGACUUGCAUGUAAUGCUAAUAUACUCCUGUCAAUUCAUUGAUAUACUCUGAGAAACAAAAACACAUGAUCAAAAGCAGAGGAGGAUGAGAUGAUUUUCAUGGAAAGUUAUCACUUGCAGUUGGAUGAAAAUAAUUUCUGAUUUGGUUCUUUAAAAUAUACAUGUAUUUAUUCUUCCUAUCCAUGUUAUUGACUGAACCUUAAUAACAAAAUUACAUCCACCCCACAUAAACUGUGUUGGUAUUACAUUACACAAUAUUCUAUUGUGUAUGAAGGAUGAAAUGAAGCAAGAAUAUGAUGCAAGCACUUGAGAUCAUGAGGUUGCAUAUGAACUCAGAUUAGGGAUUUCAGGCACAUUAAAACCUUUUUGAUGCUAUUUUAACCGAGUGAGUACAAAGCAACCCAGCAAGUAAAAGAAGUCUUAGCCCAGAUCAAUCGUCUGAUGCUAUAACCAUGAGGCUACUCUUAAUUCUUAAGCCAGAACAAGACAGUGAGCAGAAGUGGGAACAGAGAACUGAUUUAAGCUGACCUUGUCACAUACAAGCUUUUGAACACGGUUUAUAUUAUCUGUACAAUAGCACCAAGCUAGGUCAGGAAGCCUAAAUCCAGGUAUACAUUUGGGAGGAUCAGUACUUCACUGGCUUCUUGCACUGGCUAACAAAACAAUCACAGGAACACCACAGCUGCCAAACUGGAAACAUGCAGCAGAACAGCCUUGGGUGUAAAUGUAUGAGUCAAGGAUUACUGUGACGGACAGGGAAAACUUCUUGAGUUUGAAAAAGCACUACAGCUGUCCCAUCAAGUCAGCUUCAUCUGAUUAUUUGUGCUUUCUAGGGCCACUGCAUGGAGGUUGUUCCCACAAAGAAAUAUAUUUGAUUUUAAAAUGUUUGCAUCUCUGAUGUAAAAGCAUUGUGUGCAAUAUUAAUUACAUAUACAAUACAUAGUUAUUUUUUGAAAGCUUCAAAGAUGAAGCAGUGUAAAUACACAGAUCAAAGAUGUAACUUCUGGUUUGGAUUGUACCAAAUUUUACAGCAAUAGGUGGGCCCUGAAACACAGAACAGCUUUUACAUAUAUUAUUAAAAAAGAAGAGAAUAUCCGCCUCUGCUCUAUUCACAAAACCGAGCUCCUAAUGUGAAAUUAUACUUAAGUAUUUCCAGAUUUACAUAUUCAGUUACAAACAUCAAAUGCUUAUUAUAUUCCAUAUUAUGAAUUCAGUACUGUGAUUAUUAUUACAUAAAAUUUGGAAACCUGUACUAUCCUAUCCCUUUAAAAAUAUUUCAGUGAACAUCCUGCACUAUGCAUACACACUUUAUUCUCUAUUUAAAAAAGCAAUGAUUUUUGGUAGCUCAUAUAAAUAUAUGCACAACACUAAGCUCUGUGCCAACUGAACUACUAGUAGUCAAGUACAUUUUUACUAAACAAAUUACUCUGGUGCUUUAAAUUGGGUGAUAAGCUUAAUCUCAUAACAUUAUUUUUCAGUGGAAAUUCUUUACUCACUGAUCUGCUUGGAUGAUUCAUUAAGAUUUAAUGAAUUGGUAUAUAUUUUAAACAUACAAGGAAAAAAGAAUUGAGGAGGAGUAUACUUAUAGCCAUGGCUGGUUUGAAUGGCUUUACUUACGUUACUCCAGACAAACUAAGCGUCAUCAACACAAACUUGAGUACUGCAUCAAUAAAAAAAGUCAGACUGCUGAGAAACAUCUAUGUCCGGUGUGUCAGAGGAUCCAUAAGAGAAUGUAACUAUGAAGCUUGUGGUAGCUGAAAACUAAUUACAUCUGAAAUAAGUAUCAUUUGGAAGAUUAAUAUUAUCUGCAUUUGAUAAUCAUGAAAAUGCUAAUUUUUGACAAGGAUCAACAGAGUUAGUUUAUUCCAAAACUUGAAAGUAGGAGUAUAAAUUCAGAGAAUAAAAUUACUUCUAGCAUUUAUAAUUUCUGAAAUAAUUGGGGAAAAAAAAAACAGAAAAAAACAACCUGGGUCAAGGGAUCCCCCGUUACCAAUACAGAGGAUGAAAUGACUGAAGGCAGCCCUGCCAAAAAAAAACCCGGAGGUACUGGUGGAUGGAAAGCUGGACAUGAGCCAGCCAUGUAUGCCCAGAAAGUCAACCGUAUCCUGGGCUGCAUCAAAACAUGCGUGACCGGCAGGUCAAUGGAGGUGAUCCUGCCCCUGAUCUCUGCACUAGUGAGGUCUCACCAGAAGUACUGAGUCCAGAUGUGGAGUCCGCAGUACAGAAUAGACAUGGACCUGUUGAAGCACAUCCAGAG